This 754-nucleotide small RNA is filed under the name Drosophila pseudoobscura pseudoobscura. Its description in RNAcentral is "GA32299". The record is from RNAcentral. Lineage: Eukaryota; Metazoa; Arthropoda; Insecta; Diptera; Drosophilidae.
AAAUUUUAGCGAUAGAUCUAUGGUUUUUUCGACCAUCGUUUCGAAUAUCGUUCUUUCUGCAUUCAUUGGAGCCAAGGAUGACAAGAACUUUUUUCCAAGGGUGGAAUGCUCAUUUCUCAAUCUGUGGUGAACACCUUACAACUGGACUGGUACACCCCAAAGGAGACCUUCUUCAGUGAGAAAUUCACCUCGCAAAUUUAUUGCAAAAUCAACUUCGGCAAUAUUGCAAACAGCAAUAGCUUCGACACAUUUGCUACAUGUAAAAUAUAUAUAUAUACAUGCGAUGAAAAUCGAAAGCGCCAAAGUAGAAUUUUUUGAAAGAGAAUUUAGUGAAGCUUGACAGCACGAUUUAUGCAGAAUGUUGUCUAUACAAAUUGGAUGUUUCCAACGGUAAAAAACGUAAAUUAAAUGUGUAUGGAAUCUCGUUGUUGAAGGGAAAUUGUUCUGAUGAAACGGCUAUCAAUACUAUCGGCUGAAUACGCUUGGAGUGACAAGGAUGUACACGUAAUCCCUUGCACUUAAAAACGAUGUGGUCCUAAAAGAUAAGGAAAAGAACGAGAAAACCAUUAUACUGAUUGAAUGAAGACUAUGGGCCCAUUUUGUUAAAACACCAUAUCCUUACAUCCAUAUCAUACUUGCAUGUAGCUUGAACACUAAUCGUUUGUCAACCGACUUCAUCUAGGCGUUACAUCUGUGAACUGGUAUCUACCGUUAGCAGCCCUUAGCAAGAUAAUAAACUUCUUCCAAUGUUUUC